GCACCUCAGUGAACUGAAACAUCUUAGUAGCUGAAGGAUAAGAAAGCAAACGCGAUUCCCUGAGUAGUGGCGAGCGAAAUGGGAACGGCCUAAACCAAGUUAUUAACUUGGGGUCGUGGGAAAACAUUUAACAAAUUUCUUAAUAAUUUAGACGAAGCAGCUGAAACCUGCACCAUAGAUGGUGAAAGUCCAGUAGUCCAAAAAUCAAAAAGAUUUUUCAGUUUAUCCCGAGUAGCAUGGGACACGUGAAAUCCCGUGUGAAUCAGCGAGGACCACCUCGUAAGGCUAAAUACUCCUAGGUGACCGAUAGCGAACUAGUACCGUGAGGGAAAGGUGAAAAGAACCCCUGUAGGGGAGUGAAAUAGAACAUGAAACCCUAUGCUGACAACCAGUGGGAGGCGUUUAAACGCUGA
This 413-nucleotide ribosomal RNA is filed under the name Chlorella vulgaris. RNAcentral's name for it is "bacterial LSU rRNA". It matches the Rfam family "Bacterial large subunit ribosomal RNA", at positions 180 to 596 of the family's 2925-position model. The record is from RNAcentral. Lineage: Eukaryota; Viridiplantae; Chlorophyta; Trebouxiophyceae; Chlorellales; Chlorellaceae.